AUUCCUGGGGAAGCCAGCUACCAUGUUUGAGGCUACUCAAUGAGUCCUAGGAGAGGUCCAUGUGAUAUGGAGUGGAGGCCUCUUUCCAACAGCCAGUGAGGAACUGAGGCCUUGCACCAACAGCAUGCGUUGCAUGCUUUUGCAAAUUGAAGGUCUGUGGCAACCUUGGGUCAAGCAAGUCUAUCAGUGCCAUUCUUCCAACAUAGGUGUAUAUGCUGGAGCAGCUGUACUUAAGUCCAGAAAUAAGAAGACAAUUGAUCUGAGGACUCAGGAGAGAGCAUGGCUGCUGCGUAGAUGGUGCCUUCCAUCGCUUGGCAUAGGGAAGCCAAGCCAAAGCCUGUGUCUUGGGUAGCACGGGAGCUCUCAGGAUGGCUUGAAAUCUCCCACCUGGCCUGGGCCUGUUCACCUUCCCCUCCAGCUCUCCUGGGUGCAGUCAAAGCUUCACUCCCUACGCCCUACUGAACUAUUAGCUGACUGAUUCCCACUUGUCCGUGCCCCAGGACUCCACAGAAGCUCCACAUGCUUCCACAAGCUGAUGUGCCAGUUCCAAGAGGAGGAAGAAAAGCUGGCACUCAGCCUCUAUUUCUCCCCAAACUCCACAGUCAUUCAAUUCUGCAAAAAAAAAAAAAAAAAAAAAAAAAAAAAAAAAAAAAAAAAAAAAAAAAAAAA
Molecule: long non-coding RNA, 669 nt
Organism: Symphalangus syndactylus (siamang)
Lineage: Eukaryota; Metazoa; Chordata; Mammalia; Primates; Hylobatidae
Source: RefSeq, a predicted model, not a curated record